This 126-nucleotide microRNA precursor is filed under the name Pteropus vampyrus (large flying fox). Its description in RNAcentral is "miRNA (ENSPVAG00000028545.1)". The stretch from base 38 to 89 matches the Rfam family "mir-1302 microRNA precursor family". The record is from RNAcentral. Lineage: Eukaryota; Metazoa; Chordata; Mammalia; Chiroptera; Pteropodidae.
CAGUGAAAUUGGAAUUUCAGGUAAACAACAAAUAAAAUUUCCAGUAUAAGUAUAUCCCAUGCAAUACUUGGGGCAUACUUAUACUAAAAAAUUAUUCCAUUCUUUACCUGGAAUUCGAAUUUAACU